GCCGCCGUAGCUCAGCCCGGUUAGAGCGCCAGACUCAUAAGCUAUUGGUUGAGAGAUCUGGUGGUCGCGGGUUCAAAUCCCGCCGGCGGCA
Molecule: transfer RNA, 91 nt
Filed under: Ignisphaera aggregans DSM 17230
Lineage: Archaea; Thermoproteati; Thermoproteota; Thermoprotei; Desulfurococcales; Desulfurococcaceae
Rfam family: tRNA
About the family: Transfer RNA (tRNA) molecules are approximately 80 nucleotides in length. Their secondary structure includes four short double-helical elements and three loops (D, anti-codon, and T loops). Further hydrogen bonds mediate the characteristic L-shaped molecular structure. tRNAs have two regions of fundamental functional importance: the anti-codon, which is responsible for specific mRNA codon recognition, and the 3' end, to which the tRNAs corresponding amino acid is attached (by aminoacyl-tRNA synthetases). tRNAs cope with the degeneracy of the genetic code in two manners: having more than one tRNA (with a specific anti-codon) for a particular amino acid; and 'wobble' base-pairing, i.e. permitting non-standard base-pairing at the 3rd anti-codon position.
Source: Rfam by way of RNAcentral